AUUUAUUAUUUUAUUCUUUUUGGCAUGUAUUUUCCCCUUCCUCCUCAGUUCCCCACUGCUGCCCAUAAAAUCCCAAAUCUUAUUCAAGGCCUAUCUCAAAUAGUCUUCCUCCUAAGAAGCCUGGUUUUGUUUUUUGUUUUAAUAUUAUUUCUUGUGAUCUCUUCUUACCUCAUACACUGUAUAUGCUUAACUCACAUUGUAUUGUGCUAUGUGUAUGCUGCAUAUGGCUAGGUCCUCUGGGACAGGGAUUGUGCCUUUUUCCUUUCAGUGUCACCUGUGGGACCAAGCACAGACCUAUAUGCAGUGGGCCCUAAAUAAACAUUUGCUGAAUUAAAAAUGUUAAGUAUUUCUGGUUUUCCCAGUCCUUUAUACAAUAAUUUGUGUCUGCUGAUGAUCCAAACCUCUUUGCUCACUUUCGAAGGCCUGCAAAAUCCCUCCAGAACAAAGCUCAGCCUGCGGCAUGACUCAGCAAUACAGGGUCUGCGUGCAUUCCCGGCUCUGGUAGCUUCUACAGAAUGGAAGGAAGUUUGUUUCAGCCACACCAGGGGGCAGUGUGACACACGUCUGCAUGGCCAUCAAGGCAGGGCUUUUGUCUCUGUAUUCAUAAGGCCAAGGGAAGUUACAGUAACUACCUGUCAAAGAGGCCUUCCUGUUUAGUGAAGUUAGACAAAGAGUGCUGGAGACGUGACACAUGACUAGACUAAG
RNAcentral lists this long non-coding RNA (705 nucleotides) under Felis catus (domestic cat). RNAcentral's name for it is "lncRNA (ENSFCAG00000048685.1)". Lineage: Eukaryota; Metazoa; Chordata; Mammalia; Carnivora; Felidae. The record is from RNAcentral.